RNAcentral lists this long non-coding RNA (329 nucleotides) under Dromaius novaehollandiae (emu). RNAcentral describes it as "lncRNA (ENSDNVG00000016550.1)". The record is from RNAcentral. Lineage: Eukaryota; Metazoa; Chordata; Aves; Casuariiformes; Dromaiidae.
AUAAUAUUACAGUGUUUUUCUGUCAAGGUCUUGUCUUCAAAUGGGUUAUGGCCUUCCCACUUAGACAUGCAUUUCAGAAGAGAUUUGGUUCUUACUAAAGUGGAGAGGUAGCAAAGUCUGAAUAUUCUACUCUCAUUCAUAAUGAUUAAGCUGUUGCUUUGCAGUUUGAAGAAAAGCAAAAUUAAAAUUAAAUCAACAAAAUAAUUGUUUUGGGCAUUUAUUGGUGACUGAUGGAUGCAUUUCUGUGGGAAUUUCCCUACCAAUGAAGGGUCCGGUUUUAUUAAGGUGGCCAGAUUUAUACCUUCCAGAGUACCAACACUGCCAUGAGU